UCAUCCACUUUAGCUCGCCUUUUAUAUACACGCGUGAGUGAAUGUAUGUUUGUUUGUUUGUUUCAUCUCUAAGUUCUUCUAAACACUCUUCCAUGAAAUGCUGAAAUGCUGCAGGUGCAUUCAUGACGCCAAAGAGAAUACGAACCCACUCAUAUAAGCCCCAUGGUGUACUGAAUGCUGUCAAUGGUCUGCUCUCUGGAGACAUAAAACCUUGAUGGUAAGCUUUGCCCUGAAACUGAAACUUUAUGCUCUACCUUAACUUCUUGUCUAGACGACAUUUGUCCUCUCUCCUCUAGGUCAGCACGGACUGCCCCUUCUAACCCCUGGUUAUCUGAUGUUCUUCGUGAACAUCGGACUAAACUCAGAGCGGCAGAGAGAAAAUGGCACAAAUCAAACAACCCGUCGGACCUGAAACAACAAACUGGACGCUAAACAGUCAGGUUUCAGGAGUGGCCAUUCAACUGAGACUGCGCUUCUCUCGGUCACUGAAGCCCUGCGAAUUGCAAAAGCCCAUUCCAAAUCAUCAGUCCUCAUUCUGCUGGAUCUAUCUGCCGCGUUUGACACUAUCAAUCAUCAGAUACUCCUCUCCACUCUCUCAUCACUGGGCAUCGCUGGAAUUCCACUUCGCUGGUUUGAAUCCUAUCUCACUGAUGAUCCAACGGUAGCUGCAAGGAUCUCAGGUUGCCUGUCAGACAUCUCGGCAUGGAUGAAAGAACAUCACCUCCAGCUCAACCUGGCAAAGACUGAGCUUCUUGUCUUUCCUGCCGCUCCAACUCUACAGCAUGACAUCACGAUCCAGUUAGGUUCAUCAACAAUUACCCCAUCAACUUCGGUCAGAAAUCUUGGUGUAAUCUUUGAUGACCAGCUGACCUUCAAAGACCACAUUGCAAAGACUGCUCGAUCUUGCAGGUUUGCACUACACAACAUCAGAAAGAUCAGGCCCUUUCUGACGGAGCAUGCUGCACAACUUCUUGUCCAGGCCCUUGUCAUUUCUAGGCUGGACUACUGCAAUGCUCUUCUGGCUGGACUUCCAUCAAACACAGUCAAACCUCUACAAAUGAUUCAGAAUGCGGCACGACUGGUCUUCAAGGAACCCAAAAGAGCCCAUGUUACACCUCUCUUUAUCUCAUUGCAUUGGCUACCAAUCGCAGCUCGCAUCAAGUUCAAGACACUGAUGCUUGCUCAUAGAACAACCACAGGCUCAGCACCCGCCUACAUGCACUCACUAUUAAGAAUCUACAUCCCCUCCAGAAAUCUGAGAUCUGCUAGUGAGCGACGCCUCGUGGUACCAUCACAAAGAGGCUCAAAAUCACUCUCCAGAACAUUCUCGUUCACCAUUCCUGGCUGGUGGAAUGAUCUUCCCACCCAUAUUCGGAGUACUGGAUCCCUGUCAAUCUUCAAGCAACAGCUGAAAACUCAUCUCUUUCGACACUACUUGACUUCA
This is a long non-coding RNA of Onychostoma macrolepis, 1444 nucleotides long. RefSeq lists it as uncharacterized. NCBI's taxonomy places the organism in Eukaryota, Metazoa, Chordata, Actinopteri, Cypriniformes, Cyprinidae. The transcript has 3 exons. The record is from RefSeq and is a predicted model, not a curated record.